Molecule: long non-coding RNA, 1890 nt
Organism: Mus musculus (house mouse)
Lineage: Eukaryota; Metazoa; Chordata; Mammalia; Rodentia; Muridae
Product: predicted gene, 38781
Exons: 4
Source: RefSeq, a predicted model, not a curated record
UUCUAAAAAGAUAUAAUUGUUUAAAGGGAUAAAGACUUGUCUCAGAAAUUUUUUUUCAAGAUUUUUUACAAAUGUGUAUGCAGAAAUAUGCUAACUAUGUUUUUCCCUUGUGGUAGUCUGAAUGUAACUGGUUCCCAUAGGCUCACAGGUUAUAGCACUAUUAUGAGGUGUGGCCUUCCUGCUGCCUACGGAUCAAUACAUGGAACUGUCAGUCCCUUCUCCAGCAUCAAACCUGCAUGCUGCCAUGUUUCCUGGGAUGCUGAUAAUGGACAAAACCUUUGAACCUACUUCAACUCCCCGUAUGUUUCUGUAUUAAACCUGGGCUGAGAAGAAAUAUGCCACAUUGGGGAAACAGAAGGAAAGCAGCAGCUAUUACACCCGAAGCAGUGAGGUGGCCAAGGAUAAUGAGAGGCAGCUACACAGGCGCUGAUGACAGGCUUGCUGAGCCCCCACUCCAAGUCCAGCUCUUCUCAACUGCCAGCCCAUGGGCCAGCAAUCCAGGCCCACUAAAACCUUCACUAGGAACUGGCAGAUGCGGACCUGGAGGACCAGGGAAGGAGACAAAUGAACACUCCCAAACCUUUCUGCUUGACCAAGUUUAUGCUGUCCUGGGCAAUCUCCUUCUCAAGAUUCUGCGAGCACAGUGGAACUGGCCACUUCUGACACAGUACAGAAGCUGCUCUGCAGAGUUAAGUCAAACCGGUUUCCGCUCAGACGUCCUGAACUAACUAACAUGCCACCACAGCUCUGCUGCUCAAGAAGACAUGUCUUUUGUUUCUCAAGUUUCAAUUUGCAAACAACAAAAUUUUAUUAAAACUCUAAAUUAGGGGUUUUAAAAAUAUAAUUAAACUUUAUUUGUAAAACAACAAAACUUUAAUUAUCAAAUAAAACGAUAAAGAAAAAAACUCCUGAUGAGGUAGUGAUGGGGACCGCUCAGGGGAUAAAGACACUUGACACUUGUCAUCAAACCUGAAGUCUUGAGUUCAAUUCCCAGGUUCUACAUGACAGAAAGAGAACUGACUGCCACAUACACUGAUGUAAGCACACACAAAGUUAAUAAGCAAAGGUAAAAAAGCUAAAUGCUUUCUUAGAAUUUAAGUUGGAAAGUAUAACACAUUUAGCAUUACAUAUAAAUAAUCCAGAUACACAAUAUAUAUAAAGGUAUAUAUAUAAAUACCUAUAGAGAUACAUAUAUUGUCUAUGAAAUAAAAUUCUAUUUUCUAAGGUUCUAAAUGUUUUUGAGAUUGUAUUUACAGUUUGAGGCAAAAGCAAAUAGGAAAAUUAAUAGCAAUAAUAGAACACAGAAUUUUUUAAAUAUAUGUUUUUGGUUUUGUCUGUUAUAACUCUAGUACCUAGAACAGUUCAUAAGACACAACAGGUAUGCAGUAAAACUCACUGAGUUACAAUGGAAAGUAUUUCUGAAUACAAAUAUGCCUAGCACUAUGAUAACUGUUUAUAGCUAGUAUUUCACUUAACUAUAAAGCUUAAAACAUUGGUAUUAUAACCUCAUUUACAUCAUGAGGCACAUAAUGGUUAAAUUACUUGUCUAGAAUCAUAUUGACAGUAUUAGUGUAAUAACUGAUACUAAUAUAAAACCUGAACAUUAAGACAAAAAUUUCAACAUUUCACUAUCAUGCCAAAUAAAUAAGCAAAAAAAAAUCUUGAAAUAUAUUCUAACUUUACAUUGUAUUUUCAAAGGAUCUCAAAAUACAUGCAAGCUGCUGUUGGCACAGCAGUUACAAACACUUGUUACUCUACAGAGGACCCAGGUUUGAUUCCCAGAACCCACAGAGUGGUUCCAAGUAACUCUAGUCUCAGGUGACCUGAUGCCCUCUUCUGACCUCUGUGAACCAAGAGCACACACAUGGUGUGCACAUACAUACAUGCAGG